Molecule: ribosomal RNA, 659 nt
Filed under: uncultured crenarchaeote
Lineage: Archaea; Thermoproteati; Thermoproteota
Description: bacterial SSU rRNA
Rfam family: Archaeal small subunit ribosomal RNA
Source: RNAcentral
AGGAUGGGACUGCGUCCGAUCAGGCUGUUGGCGGGGUAAUGGCCCACCAAACCUGUAACCGGUACGGGCCUUGAGAGAGGUGGCCCGGAGAUGGACACUGAGAGAAGGGUCCAGGUCCUACGGGGCGCAGCAGGCGCGAAACCUUCGCAAUGCGCGAAAGCGUGACGAGGUUAAUCCGAGUGACUCCCGCUGAGGGGGUCUUUUGUCAGCUGUAAAUAGGCAGGCGAAUAAGGGGAGGGCAAGCCUGGUGUCAGCCGCCGCGGUAAUACCAGCUCCUCGAGUGGUCGGGGCGAUUAUUGGGCCUAAAGCAUCCGUAGCCGGUUCCGUAGGUCCUCUGUUAAAUCCAACCGCUUAACGGUUGACCUGCAGAGGAUACCGCGGGACUAGGAGGCGGGAGAGGCGGACGGUACUCCGCGUGUAGGGGUAAAAUCCUUUGAUCCGCGGAAGACCACCAGUGGCGAAGGCGGUCCGCCAGAACGCGCUCGACGGUGAGGGAUGAAAGCUGGGGGAGCGAACCGGAUUAGAUACCCGGGUAGUCCCAGCCGUAAACGAUGCUAGCUAGAUGAUUCAUUCGCAAGUCGCGAAUGAAGUGUCGCAGGGAAGCCGUUAAGCUAGCCGCCUGGGGAGUACGGUCGCAAGACUGAAACUUAAAGGAAUUG